RNAcentral lists this long non-coding RNA (1360 nucleotides) under Homo sapiens (human). RNAcentral describes it as "HSALNT0203587". The record is from RNAcentral. Lineage: Eukaryota; Metazoa; Chordata; Mammalia; Primates; Hominidae.
CAAGCGAUUCUCCUGCCUCAGCCUCCCAAGUAACUGGGAUUACAGGCAUGAGCCACCGUGCCUGGCUAAUUUUUGUAUUUUUAGUAGAGACAGGGUUUCACCAUGUUGGCCAGGCUGGUCUCGAACUCCUGACCUCGUGACCAGCCUGCCUCGGCUUCCCAAAGUGGUGGGAUUACAGGGUGAGCCACCGCGCCCCGCCUUGAAUAAGACUUUAUGAAACAGCAACCAGUUUCAUUUGAGCGGCCUUACCAUUUGAAAAUAAAUGAUGCCAUAUUUAACCAGAUGGUGAGUAUGGAAUUACUUUAUAUAAACUCAACUUGAUGCCAAUAGUUUUACAUAUAUCGGUUUCCUCAAUGUGGAGAAAAGAGAACUGUCUCUGGGGCCAGGAUGCCUGGGUUGGAGUCUUCUAAGUCACAGUGUGACUUUCAGCUAAUCUGUAUCUCUGCAGGCCUUAAUUUUCUGGUUUGGAAAAUGGAGGUAAGUAAAUGAGAGACUCUCCAAGAAUCUCCCAGCUUCAAAAAGCUUAGAUGCUAAUAUGUUGCAGAAAUCCCGGCAUGGAUUCAGAAUCUUCAAGUUUCAUUAUAGGACUUGCUUUUUAAUAGUCUUCCUGCAUCUUCUUCCCCUUAUUGCAACUCAGUCAAUUAGUCAAUUUCUCUGCAUUUUAGUUUUGUUCUAUUUGUCAAAUGGAGAUAAUAAGAGAUGCCUUAGAGGGACUCAGGGAGGAUAAACUAAUUAAUGGUCAUAAAGUCCUAGUGUCCUUGAGCCUGCUAAGUGGUCAUGAUUCUAAACAGAUCUUUAUAGCUUCUUGGCCGCUCACUGCUUUAGCAUUAGACAGAACCAUUUAUUUUUUCUUAUUUUUUAAUUUUCAUUAUUGUUUCCUAUAAAGGACAGCACCUUACAACAUGAUUUUUUUUUUUUAAAUCAACAUGACACAUGGAAGCAAUGGGAAGAAGCAUAUCAGAAGCAAAGGCCAGGCUGGGCGCAGUGGCUCAGGCCUGUAAUCCCAGCACUUUGGGAGGCUGAGGCAGGUGGAUCACCUGAGGUCGGGAAUUUGAGACCAGCCUGGCCAACAUGGUGAAACCCCAUCUCUACUAAAAAUACAAAAAUUAGCCGGGCGUGGUGGUGCACAUCUGUAAUCCCAGCUACUUGGGAGGGUGAGGCAUGAGAAUCGCUUGAACCUGGGAGGUGGAGGAGGAUCAAAUGUGUAAAUGCCAAUUCAGAGAGGUGAGCAAAGCAGGAAGAAAGAAAGAAGGAGGGGAGGUCAAGAUGAGAACUCUGCUGACUCCUGAUUCUCCAAGGUACAAAUUCUCUGCUGUGUUACCUACCCAGGCCUCUCUCCCACUCCUCUCUUGCUUCUGAC